UACGAAGGGGGCUAGCGUUGCUCGGAAUUACUGGGCGUAAAGGGCGCGUAGGCGGACAGUUUAGUCAGAGGUGAAAGCCCAGGGCUCAACCUUGGAAUUGCCUUUGAUACUGGCUGUCUUGAGUUCGGGAGAGGUGAGUGGAAUGCCGAGUGUAGAGGUGAAAUUCGUAGAUAUUCGCAAGAACACCAGUGGCGAAGGCGGCUCACUGGCCCGGUACUGACGCUGAGGUGCGAAAGCGUGGGGAGCGAACAGG
Molecule: ribosomal RNA, 253 nt
Filed under: uncultured bacterium
Lineage: Bacteria
Description: partial 16S ribosomal RNA
Rfam family: Bacterial small subunit ribosomal RNA
Source: RNAcentral